UACGAAGGUGGCUAGCGUUGUUCGGAAUUACUGGGCGUAAAGCGCACGCAGGCGGAUUUAUAAGUCAGGGGUGAAAUCCCGGGGCUCAACCUCGGAAUUGCCCUUGAUACUGUCUAUCUUGAGUCCGGGAGAGGUGAGUGGAAUUCCUAGUGUAGAGGUGAAAUUCGUAGAUAUUAGGAAGAACACAAGUGGCGAAGGCGGCUCACUGGCCCGGUACUGACGCUCAUGUGCGAAAGCGUGGGGAGCAAACAGG
RNAcentral lists this ribosomal RNA (253 nucleotides) under uncultured bacterium. RNAcentral's name for it is "partial 16S ribosomal RNA". It matches the Rfam family "Bacterial small subunit ribosomal RNA", at positions 524 to 776 of the family's 1533-position model. The record is from RNAcentral.